GAUGGGAAACAGGUUAAUAUUCCUGUACUCGGUGUUACUGCGAAGGGGGGACGGAGAAGGCUAUGUUGGCCGGGCGACGGUUGUCCCGGUUUAAGCAUGUAGGCGGAGGUUCCAGGUAAAUCCGGAACCUUAUUCAACGCUGAGGUGUGAUGACGAGGCACUACGGUGCUGAAGCAACAAAUGCCCUGCUUCCAGGAAAAGCCUCUAAGCAUCAGGUAACAUCAAAUCGUACCCCAAACCGACACAGGUGGUCAG
This 255-nucleotide ribosomal RNA is filed under the name Leclercia tamurae. Its description in RNAcentral is "partial 23S ribosomal RNA". It matches the Rfam family "Bacterial large subunit ribosomal RNA", at positions 1417 to 1670 of the family's 2925-position model. The record is from RNAcentral. Lineage: Bacteria; Pseudomonadati; Pseudomonadota; Gammaproteobacteria; Enterobacterales; Enterobacteriaceae.